This 520-nucleotide unclassified non-coding RNA is filed under the name uncultured Glomus. RNAcentral's name for it is "SSU rRNA". It matches the Rfam family "Eukaryotic small subunit ribosomal RNA", at positions 569 to 1090 of the family's 1831-position model. Lineage: Eukaryota; Fungi; Glomeromycota; Glomeromycetes; Glomerales; Glomeraceae. The record is from RNAcentral.
AGCAGCCGCGGUAAUUCCAGCUCCAAUAGCGUAUAUUAAAGUUGUUGCAGUUAAAAAGCUCGUAGUUGAAUUUCGGGAUUAAUAUGCUGGUCGUGCCAUUGGUACGUACUAGUAUUAUUGGUUUCUCCUUUCUGAUGAAUCAUGAUGUCAUUAAUUUGAUGUCAUGAGGAAUCAGGACUGUUACUUUGAAAAAAUUAGAGUGUUUAAAGCAGGCUCGCGCUUGAAUACAUUAGCAUGGAAUAAUGAAAUAGGAUGUUUGAUUCUAUUUUGUUGGUUUCUAGGAUUGACGUAAUGAUUAAUAGGGAUAGUUGGGGGCAUUAGUAUUCAAUUGUCAGAGGUGAAAUUCUUGGAUUUAUUGAAGACUAACUACUGCGAAAGCAUUUGCCAAGGAUGUUUUCAUUAAUCAAGAACGAAAGUUAGGGGAUCGAAGACGAUCAGAUACCGUCGUAGUCUUAACCAUAAACUAUGCCGACUAGGGAUCGGAUGAUGUUAAUUUUUUAAUGACUCAUUCGGCGCCUUA